Equus caballus (horse) is the source of this 4747-nucleotide non-coding RNA. The record is from RefSeq and is a predicted model, not a curated record. Lineage: Eukaryota; Metazoa; Chordata; Mammalia; Perissodactyla; Equidae.
GCAAAAAAGAGGAGGACUGGAAGUAGUUACCUCAGGGCUAAUCUUCCUCAGGAGAAAAAAAAAGUUCAAUUUGUUAGUUAAACAUCUUCUUUUAGUACCUAUCCCAGAGGUAAUAAUAAUCAUCUAUGACCAAUCACAGUCAAAUUCUUUUACUACUUCCCUGUUAAAGCUGGGACUUUAGAAUGGUUUGUCUCCAUUUAUUCCCCCUCUUCCUUUUUGUUCUCUUGAAUUUUAAUUCGAGAUAUAUUUAAAACUUCACAAGACAUAACCACUAUUGUUUUGUAUGGUCAAUAUUCACAUAUAUUUUAAAUAUAUGCCCUUUCUAGUGCUCUUCAUUCUUUCCCUCAUUUUUGCACUUAUAUCUGGGAUCAUUUUCCUUCUGCCUAAAGAAGUCCUUUUAGUGUUUCUUUUUAGUGCAGGCUACCUCGUGAUGAAUUAUCUCAAUUUAUGUAUUUUGCUGUUAUUUUUUAAGGAUAUUUUUGCUGAGUAUGUGAAGGAGUAAGAAAUUCACUCUCCCUCUAGUGUGAGGAGUUGCAUAAUAAAAACACAGAUAACAGAGCGUCAUGAAGAAUCAGCCCCUUUCAGUGAGCCAUGCCUGUUGUCCCCAUCCUUGUGGGAAUUUAAAAACUCUUCUUCACUAUUAAUUUACUGAGAUUUUAGAAAGACUGAAAUGAUAUGUCCAAUCUCCCAUGUUAACCCAGAAUUCUUAUUUUACUUUUUUCUUGAGAUUUUUAUCCACCAAUUUUUUUGCUGAUGCAUUCUAAAUGUGAAGUUCUAUCUAUAUUACUUUUGUCCUGCUGUGUUAAAAAUUGCCACAAAUAUAGCAGCUUAAAAGAACAUAUGUUUAUCAACUCAGUUUCUGCGGGUCAGGAAUCUGGGCGUGGCUUAACUGGGUCUUCUGCUCAGGGUGUUGGCCAGGCUGUGUUCUCAUCUGCAGUUUGGUGUUCUCUUUCAAGAUCACAUGGUUGUCAGCAGAAUUCGGUUCCUCAUAGUUGUAGAACUGAGGGUCUCAGCUACCAGAGACUGCCUGCAUUUCCCUGCCAUGUGGUUCUCGCCACAGGCCGCUUACAACAGGGCUGUUUGCUUCUUUGAGGCCAGCAAAAACUCUCUCUCAUCUACUAAGAGUCUUAUAUAACAUAAUAUACUCACGAGAAUACUAUCCUAUUGUAUUUGCCAAGAGCAUAACUUACUCUAGGAGGUAACAUCCUAUCAUCUUUGCCACAUAAUGCAAUCCACUCAAAGGAGGGCCAUCCCAUCCACCUUUGCCAUGUUCCACUGGUUAAAAGCAAGUCAAAUGUCUGCACUUAAGGACAGGGGUUUACACAAGGAAUGUGACUCAUUAGGGGUCACGCUAGGGUGUGUCUGUUACACAAUCUAUACAGCAUAAUGCUCUGUUUCUUUCCUACAAUGAAAGAAAUGCUUGAAUUCCCUUUAUUUUGAUGUUUUUAACACUUUUUUCUCCUCUGUGUCUUUUUGCUUACCCAUCUUUCUCACAGAUAAUGCAGACAAUUCAUGUUACAAGUGAGAAAUCUGAAGCUCAAAGGUGAAAUUAUUUACUCCCCUUUCUCAGUCUCUUUCCCUAAUUUCUAUAAAUCAAAAUUUUAUGAUGAAAGCCCUUAUAAAUAAUAAAUUUAUACAAAUAAAACAUGUUUAGUGUAGAAAAGAUGGAAAGCACAAGUAAGCAUAAACAAAAUAAAAGUCCUCUGGGAUCAUGGAAUUUUGAUGUCAGCUAUUUCUAAAUCAGCCAGUGUACUCAUACUAAUGAAAAUGAAUUCUUGUCCUGGACAAGAUUCAUAGCAUCAUUGAUGUGGCACCCAGUAAACCCUAGUGCAUUAUUUCAGCAACUUGCUAAUUAAGAAAACACCACUGUGGAUGGGUAGUAUUUCUUGGGAACCCUGACCAUAACAAAUGGGAAGUAAUUUUUACCCUGGGGAUCCUGGAAUAUCCCAGAAAUGGAGUUGUUUAGGCGACUUUCAUUUUCACCCAUAACCAGGUCUAUCCUCUUUCUGUUGAACAUGUGUGGGUUUCUCCACUGGGAGUGAUUUGGCACACCCAGGGGACAUUUGGUUGUUGUGAGGUGGGGAGCAGAGAGGAGGGGAGAAAGAUGCUAUUGGCUUCUAGUAGGCAGAGGCCAGGGAUAUUGCUAAAUACCCUACAAGGUACAGGACAGCCCCCACAGCAAAGAAGUAGCCAGCCCAGUGUCAAUAGUGCCAAGGUUGAGAAGCCCCAGUGCUCUCCUUCCUUUGCAGUGAAGUGACCAAGUCCAUGAUGUGUCUAAAACUUGAGGGCAUGGUUUCUGCCACACCUCCUUAUGUCACCAACUUUGCUUCCCUGAGGCAACCAAACAUUAUUCACAGAACACCAACAACCUGGUUGUCAUUUCUGUCAUAUCUUGGGGCAAGGUCUAGCUGGAUAUCUGUCUAAGCAGGGGGGCGAUGACUAGGAGAAUCCAGAAUCCAAUAUUUGGUCCUGUCUUUGCCCUCUGGGGUACUGCAGGCACUGAGAGGACAUAAGCAGCUAUGGGCUUUGGGAGAAAAUCCUACUGCAGAAAUAGGGCAGCCAUUGAAAGUGUGGAGACAGAACGCAUCCUGAAGGCUCUUACACAAUAUAAGGUGGACAGAACAGGGCCGUGGGGCGUCCAGGAGAAGGGAAUAUUCAGAAGCCUGAGGGCAACAAGAAGGGAAGGGCCAUAUUCACAAUAGCUAAUGUUUAAUAAUAGCCGAUACUUAACGAGUCCCUCAGUGGCAGGCAAUUCACUAAUAUGCACUUUUCAUCCCUUCUCUCCUUACUCCUCACAACAACUCUAUGAAAUAACUACUAUUAUUAUCUCUGCCGAAGCGAAGAAACUGAGGCUCAGAAAAGUGAAGUAACCUGUCGAAGUCAUGGAACCUUACUGUUGAGUCGACUCCGACUCCUAGCGACCCCCUGUACAGCAGAGAAGAACUGUGCCUGGUCUUUUGCGCCCCCUGGGCUGAAGCAGUGAGAACAGGAAUCUCACCCACUGGACCACCAGUAUAGGCUGUGGCAGACAGAGAGAAGUACCACUCAGAUAAUCCUUCAAGAAAGAACCUGUCCAGCUGCUAUGAGUGUGGUUGUUUACAGCCUCCAGCUGUUCUCUUCCUCGGGUCUACUUUGGUUUCAAGCCAGGGUCUGCUCUUCUUGGAGAAGCCUCCAGGACAAUGUCUGAGCAAAGCGGUGGUGGCUGACUGCAGGUUCCUCUCAGGGCAGCUUCCAGACAGUGACUGAAACAGACGGUGGGACAAGGGCCUAGCUGUUUCCACCCAACGUGGGACUCUUCUACAGGGCAGCCUUUGCUCUGGAGCUCCUUUUGGGGUGCAGAGACGUGGGGUCAAAUUGACAUUGCUAUCUGAUAUAGGGUAACUUCCUGACCUGCAGGAAGUUAUGGAGAUGUUAAUAAAACAUGGCAUUCCUGUUGACAAAUUCAUUGGCAGUGUACAAGGUACAUGUGUAUGAAUAUGUAUAUAUAUUCAAAAGAAAGCAAGAAUGGAAGAAAAGGAGACUGAGUGUGUUUGCCCUCCAAAAAUUUAUGGUCACUUGCCCUGUUUCUGAGUGUUUUCUAAUAACCUUAAAGAAAAACCCCACUGAUUUCUAGCUUAGUUCCAUAUUUUGUACGAUCUCAAUCCUUUGAAAUUUGAAAAGACUUGCUUUAUGGCCUAGCAUACAGUUCAUCUUGGUCAAUGUUCCAUGGGCUUUUGAAAAGAAUCUUUAGUCUGUAGUUGUUGGGUUUUGUGUAUCUAUAAGUCAAUUAGGUCAAAUGGGUUAAUCAUGUUGUUUAAAUCUACUAUAUUCUGGCUGAUAUUUUUACCUUCUUGGUCCAUCAGGUACUAAGUGAGAUAUGUUAAAAUCUCCAAUUAUUCUACACAAAUACCUGCAGUGGAUGUUUAUAGCAGCUUUAUUCAUAAUUGUCAAAACUUGGAAGCAAUCUAGAUGUCCUUCAGUGGGUGAAUGGAUAAACUGUGAUACACCCACACAACAGAAUAUUAUUCAGCAUUAAAAAUAAAUGAGCUAUCAAGCUAUGAAAAGAUAUGGAGGAAACUUAAAUGCAUAUUACUAAGUGACAGAGAUGAAUCUGAAAAGGUUCAUACUGUGUGAUUCCAAUUACGUGACAUUCUGGAAAAGGCAAAACUAUGAAGACAGUAAAAAGAUUGGUGGUUGCCAGCAGUUGAGGGGAGGGAGGGAUGAUAGGCAGAGCACAGAGGAUUUGGGGAGCAGUGAAACUAUUCUGUAGGAUACUAUAAUGGAUAUACAUCAUCAUAUAUUUGUCCAAACCUAUAGAAUGUACAACACUAAGAGUAAACCCUAAUGUAAAUAUGGACUUUGGGUGAUAAUGAUGCAUCAGCGUAGGUUCAUUGAUUUUAACACAAGUAACACUCAGGUGGGGGAUGUUGAUAAUGGGGGAGGCUGUGGGUGUGGGGGACAAGGAGUAUGUGAGAAAUCUCUGUACGUUCUCUUCAAUUUUGCUGUGAACCUAAAACUGCUCUAAGAAAUAAAGUCUGUUAAAAAAGUCAACCGAGGGAGAGUUGACUGGGAAGAAGUUUGAGAGGAGCUUCUGUGGUGCAAGUGAUGUUCUCUUUUGAACUGGGUGUGUUCACUCUCUGUAAAUCCAUUAAACUGUAUACUCAUGAGAAAAAUCUCUAGUCAUAGUUGAGAAAGAGAAUCUAUUUCUCUUUUUAGCUCUGUCAUUUCCUUUUUUAAUUUUGAAGCUAAGUAUUAGGAAGAAGGAACU